CGUGUAGGCGGGUCGUUAAGUCGGGGUGAAAGCCCAGAGCUCAACUCUGGAACUGCCUUCGAUACUGGCGACCUGGACCCAAGUAGAGGCGAGUGGAAUUACGAGUGUAGAGGUGAAAUUCGUAGAUAUUCGUAGGAACACCAAUGGCGAAGGCGACUCGCUGGACUUGUGGUGACGCUGAGACGCGAAAGCGUGGGGAGCAAACA
This 206-nucleotide ribosomal RNA is filed under the name uncultured bacterium. RNAcentral's name for it is "partial 16S ribosomal RNA". It matches the Rfam family "Bacterial small subunit ribosomal RNA", at positions 568 to 774 of the family's 1533-position model. The record is from RNAcentral.